AGUGAACGCUGGCGGUAGGCCUAACACAUGCAAGUCGAACGGCAGCACAGUAAGAGCUUGCUCUUACGGGUGGCGAGUGGCGGACGGGUGAGGAAUACAUCGGAAUCUACUUUUUCGUGGGGGAUAACGUAGGGAAACUUACGCCAAUACCGUAUACGACCUACGGGUGAAAGCAGGGGAUCUUCGGAUCUUGCGCGAUUGAAUGAGCCGAUGUCGGACUAGCUAGUUGGCGGGGUAAAGGCCCACCAAGGCGACGAUCCGUAGCUGGUCUGAGAGGAUGAUCAGCCACACUGGAACUGAGACACGGUCCAGACUCCUACGGGAGGCAGCAGUGGGGAAUAUUGGGCAAUGGGCGCAAGCCUGAUCCAGCCAUACCGCGUGGGUGAAGAAGGCCUUCGGGUUGUAAAGCCCUUUUGUUGGGAAAGAAAAGCAGCAGGUUAAUACCCCGCUGUUCUGACGGUACCCAAAGAAUAAGCACCGGCUAACUUCGUG
This 492-nucleotide ribosomal RNA is filed under the name uncultured bacterium. RNAcentral's name for it is "partial 16S ribosomal RNA". It matches the Rfam family "Bacterial small subunit ribosomal RNA", at positions 29 to 507 of the family's 1533-position model. The record is from RNAcentral.